Long non-coding RNA from Girardinichthys multiradiatus, 203 nucleotides. RefSeq lists it as uncharacterized. The transcript is spliced from 3 exons. Lineage: Eukaryota; Metazoa; Chordata; Actinopteri; Cyprinodontiformes; Goodeidae. The record is from RefSeq and is a predicted model, not a curated record.
GCGCUGCUGACCGCAGCCUGCAGCUCGCAGACAGGCUGAAAAAAUAAGUCCCACCUAAUGGAGAGAAAGGAAUCAAACUUUUUUUUUUUUUCUCGGUUUUCAUCCAAUCCUUAAACCAGCGACUUCAUGCGCAUCACGGCUGCCAAUCUAAAAUAAGAUGAUUGUUUCCACACCAUGCCACAGAGAGGUCCACCACCUUCCUG